GAGUUUGAUCAUGGCUCAGAAUGAACGCCGUCGGCACGCUUAACACAUGCAAGUCGAACGAGAUCUUCGGAUCUAGUGGCAGACGGGUGAGUAACGCGUGGGAACCUGCCCAGUAGUAGAGAAUAACUUGGGGAAACUUAAGCUAAUACUUUAUACGUCCUUCGGGAGAAAGCUUUAUGCGCUAUUGGAUGGGCCCGCGUUAGAUUAGUUUGUUGGUGAGGUAAUGGCUCACCAAGGCGACGAUCUAUAGCUGGUCUGAGAGGAUGAUCAGCCACACUGGGACUGAGACACGGCCCAGACUCCUACGGGAGGCAGCAGUGGGGAAUAUUGGACAAUGGGGGCAACCCUGAUCCAGCGAUGCCGCGUGAGUGAUGAAGGCCCUAGGGUUGUAAAACUCUUUCGUCAGGGAAGAUAAUGACGGUACCUGAAGAAGAAGAUCCGGCUAACUCCGUGCCAGCAGCCGCGGUAAUACGGAGGGGUCUAGCGUUAUUCGGAAUUACUGGGCGUAAAGCGAGCGUAGGCGGAUUUGUAAGUUGGAGGUGAAAUCCCAGAGCUUAACUCUGGAACUGCCUUCAAAACUACAUUUCUUGAGUUUGGUAGAGGAGAGUGGAAUUCCUAGUGUAGAGGUGAAAUUCGUAGAUAUUAGGAGGAACACCAGUGGCGAAGGCGACUCUCUGGGCCAAUACUGACGCUGAGGUUCGAAAGCAUGGGUAGCGAACAGGAUUAGAUACCCUGGUAGUCCAUGCAG
This 748-nucleotide ribosomal RNA is filed under the name uncultured bacterium. RNAcentral describes it as "bacterial SSU rRNA". It matches the Rfam family "Bacterial small subunit ribosomal RNA", at positions 9 to 802 of the family's 1533-position model. The record is from RNAcentral.